Molecule: ribosomal RNA, 265 nt
Filed under: uncultured bacterium
Lineage: Bacteria
Description: partial 16S ribosomal RNA
Rfam family: Bacterial small subunit ribosomal RNA
Source: RNAcentral
UACGGAGGGUGCGAGCGUUGUCCGGAAUCACUGGGCGUAAAGGGCGCGUAGGCGGCGCGGAUAGUCGGCGGUGAAGCCGGACGCUCAACUCCGGGUCGGCCGUCGAUACUUCCGGGCUUGAGCACUGUAGAGGCAGAUGGAAUUCCGGGUGUAGCGGUGGAAUGCGUAGAGAUCCGGAAGAACACCGGUGGCGAAGGCGGUCUGCUGGGCAGUUGCUGACGCUGAUGCGCGACAGCGUGGGGAGCAAACGAGGAUUAGAGUACCC